GAUGAACGCUGGCGGCGUGCUUAACACAUGCAAGUCGAACGGAAAGGCCCUGCUUUUGUGGGGUGCUCGAGUGGCGAACGGGUGAGUAACACGUGAGUAACCUGCCCUUGACUUUGGGAUAACUUCAGGAAACUGGGGCUAAUACCGGAUAGGAGCUCCUGCUGCAUGGUGGGGGUUGGAAAGUUUCGGCGGUUGGGGAUGGACUCGCGGCUUAUCAGCGUGUUGGUGGGGUAGUGGCUUACCAAGGCUUUGACGGGUAGCCGGCCUGAGAGGGUGACCGGCCACAUUGGGACUGAGAUACGGCCCAGACUCCUACGGGAGGCAGCAGUGGGGAAUAUUGCACAAUGGGCGGAAGCCUGAUGCAGCAACGCCGCGUGCGGGAUGACGGCCUUCGGGUUGUAAACCGCUUUCGCCUGUGACGAAGCGUGAGUGACGGUAACGGGUAAAGAAGCACCGGCUAACUACGUG
Molecule: ribosomal RNA, 468 nt
Filed under: uncultured bacterium
Lineage: Bacteria
Description: partial 16S ribosomal RNA
Rfam family: Bacterial small subunit ribosomal RNA
Source: RNAcentral